RNAcentral lists this ribosomal RNA (253 nucleotides) under uncultured bacterium. Its description in RNAcentral is "partial 16S ribosomal RNA". It matches the Rfam family "Bacterial small subunit ribosomal RNA", at positions 524 to 776 of the family's 1533-position model. The record is from RNAcentral.
UACGAAGGGGGCUAGCGUUGCUCGGAAUCACUGGGCGUAAAGAGCUCGUAGGCGGUUUGUCGCGUCGACUGUGAAAACCUACAGCUUAACUGUGGGCUUGCAGUCGAUACGGGCAGACUUGAGUUCGGUAGGGGAGACUGGAAUUCCUGGUGUAGCGGUGAAAUGCGCAGAUAUCAAGAGGAACACCGGUGGCGAAGGCGGGUCUCUGGGCCGAUACUGACGCUGAGGAGCGAAAGCGUGGGGAGCGAACAGG